This 622-nucleotide long non-coding RNA is filed under the name Homo sapiens (human). RNAcentral's name for it is "HSALNT0095433". The record is from RNAcentral. Lineage: Eukaryota; Metazoa; Chordata; Mammalia; Primates; Hominidae.
GAAGAGAAAAUGGACCCAGAAGAGGGGACCAAAAAAGAGGAGGCGUGUUCGGGUACUGGAGGAAGAAGAAAGGAAGUGCACCUACAUAAUAGCUGCCCAAUCUCUUCCCUGCUCUGAGCCCAGGGGUUUAGUCUGCAGAGCUCUGAGAGUGUAAAAUUUCCCAUGUGCCUUCAAACCAGGUCAUUCUGGAAUCUGGGAUGUCUCAUAUGUCCUGAAACCAACCAGCAGAGGGGAGCAGGCUGACCAAGUGGGCUGAAGGACCCAUGUGGCCAUAUCUGAGGGACACCCUAGCUCACACUGGACAACAGGGGAGGAAAUCAGGAGAGUGCUCACCAGCAGCGGGCAACAUUUCGGACAGUAUAACCACCACCACCCAGCACGAGUAGAGGGAUAUUGAAGCUCUUGACAUAUUCAACGCAUUCCCUGUUAAAAGGAACCAGAGGAAGAUGUGGAGGAGGUUAUCAAAAGACAAGGUAAAUACCUUUAGGUAUUGCCUGAAAGGAGCACAAGAAAACUAUAAAUGUUCUAAAUCUUUAUCUUGAUAGUGAAAUUCAUUAUGUUAUACCCUUAAGAUUUGGGUAUACUUUAUAUGCUGUGUCUCAAUAAAAAUUUUAAAAUAAAG